Molecule: ribosomal RNA, 253 nt
Filed under: uncultured bacterium
Lineage: Bacteria
Description: partial 16S ribosomal RNA
Rfam family: Bacterial small subunit ribosomal RNA
Source: RNAcentral
UACGAAGGGUGCAAACGUUGCUCGGAAUUAUUGGGCGUAAAGCGCACGUAGGCGGCUUGGCAAGUCGGAUGUGAAAUCCCUCGGCUCAACCAAGGAAGUGCAUCCGAAACUGCCGAGCUUGAGUACUUAAGAGGAUCGCGGAAUUCCCGGUGUAGAGGUGAAAUUCGUAGAUAUCGGGAGGAACACCAGUGGCGAAGGCGGCGAUCUGGGUGGAUACUGACGCUGAGGUGCGAAAGCGUGGGGAGCAAACAGG